AACGACUAGACGGCCGAAGGCGUUAAUAACAUGCAAGUCGAGGGGCAUCAAGGUUACACGAAAAGUGUAGUUGUUGGGCGACCGGGCGGACGGGUGAGUAAUAGGUAGGUAACCGUACCUCAUACUGAGGCAUAGCUGGGAGAAAUUCCAGGUAAUUCCUCAUGAGGUUAUAUGACACAUGUGAUAUAAUCAAAGGUAUCGCAAGGUACUGGUAUGAGAUGGGCUUACUGACCAUUAGCUAGUUGGUGGGGUAAAAGCUCACCAAGGCGACGAUCUGUAGCUGGUCUGAGAGGACGACCAGCCACACUGGAACUGAGACACGGUCCAGACUCCUACGGGAGGCAGCAGUGGGGAAUUUUGGACAAUGGGCGCAAGCCUGAUCCAGCAAUGCCGCGUGCAGGAUGAAGGCCUUCGGGUUGUAAACUGCUUUUGUACGGAACGAAACGGUGAGCUCUAAUAAAGCUUGCUAAUGACGGUACCGUAAGAAUAAGCACCGGCUAACUACGUG
RNAcentral lists this ribosomal RNA (508 nucleotides) under uncultured bacterium. RNAcentral's name for it is "bacterial SSU rRNA". It matches the Rfam family "Bacterial small subunit ribosomal RNA", at positions 38 to 507 of the family's 1533-position model. The record is from RNAcentral.